CCCUUAGAUGUUCUGGGCCGCACGCGCGCUACACUGAUGCAUUCAACGAGUCUAAAACCUGCUCUGAUAGGGGUGGGUAAUCUUUUGAAUGUGCAUCGUGAUUGGGAUAGAUGAUUGCAAUUUUUCAUCUUCAACGAGGAAUGCCUAGUAAACGCAAGUCAUCAGCUUGCAUUGAUUACGUCCCUGCCCUUUGUACACACCGCCCGUCGCUCCUACCGAUUGAAUGAUCCGAUGAAUAUCAUGGAUUGAGGAUUAUAGCAGGUUCGCCUGUCUUGAUCUUCGAGAAGUGAAGUAAAGCUUAUCAUUUAGAGGAAGGAGAAGUCGUAACA
Molecule: ribosomal RNA, 329 nt
Filed under: uncultured eukaryote
Lineage: Eukaryota
Description: partial 18S ribosomal RNA
Rfam family: Eukaryotic small subunit ribosomal RNA
Source: RNAcentral